AAUACAUUCGGAACGUCGGUAUACCGAGCAAUUUCAUUCGCUCGGUACAAGAUACUCAUAUUGUAUU
This 67-nucleotide microRNA precursor is filed under the name Bombyx mori (domestic silkworm). RNAcentral describes it as "mir-2774 microRNA precursor family". It matches the Rfam family "mir-2774 microRNA precursor family". Lineage: Eukaryota; Metazoa; Arthropoda; Insecta; Lepidoptera; Bombycidae. The record is from Rfam by way of RNAcentral.